AAAUUUGCUCAAUUCCCUAAAUCUACCCUAAUUUUCAGUCUAAUUUACUCAAACACCAACCAUUCAAUCAGAUUACACAAAGCAUACAAUCAAAUCGUCACAACAAAAUCCAACCAAUCCCCGAAACAGAGGAGAUUGAUCGAGAAUGACAAAAAAAUCAUCUAACUCUCAAAACGGAGGACAAAGGAGGAACACAUACCUGAUUUUGAUUGGAAGCGGCGGAGAAGGUUUGUAUAUGAGGACAGAGCGGUGUAGAUUGAGCGAGAACAGAUCGGUUGUGUUGCAAAUCGCCUUCGGGAGAGAAGAGGGAGACGAUGAAAACGAGAGACACCGUAAUACUCGACUUAACCCUAAGCCCGAUUCGGUCUUCCUUCCGGAGGCUGACACGUGCCCUUAAGGACGAGCAUAAAAACUUCUUAAUUAGCAAACAU
This 431-nucleotide long non-coding RNA is filed under the name Brassica napus (rape). Its description in RNAcentral is "long non-coding RNA (BNAP_LNC011020)". The record is from RNAcentral. Lineage: Eukaryota; Viridiplantae; Streptophyta; Magnoliopsida; Brassicales; Brassicaceae.